Non-coding RNA from Mycena rebaudengoi, 96 nucleotides. The record is from the annotation of a GenBank genome assembly. Lineage: Eukaryota; Fungi; Basidiomycota; Agaricomycetes; Agaricales; Mycenaceae.
GGCUCAGUGGCGGAUGGUUCCGCGUCUGCUAAGCACGAAAUGCUGAAGACAACCAACAGUAGGCAGAAUACGCUCGUUUGAAUCGAGCCUGAGCCG